GCGCGCAAAUUACCCAAUCCUGACACGGGGAGGUAGUGACAAUAAAUAACAAUACCGGGCGCGUUAGUGUCUGGUAAUUGGAAUGAGUACAAUCUAAAUCCCUUAACGAGGAUCCAUAGGAGGGCAAGUCUGGUGCCAG
This 139-nucleotide ribosomal RNA is filed under the name uncultured bacterium. RNAcentral describes it as "partial 16S rRNA". It matches the Rfam family "Eukaryotic small subunit ribosomal RNA", at positions 432 to 570 of the family's 1831-position model. The record is from RNAcentral.